GCCCGCUUAGCUCAGUGGUAGAUGCGCUCCACUAGUAAUUCAUUACUGUUAUGGAGAGGUCACUGGUUCAACUCCAGUAGUGGGCA
Patellaria atrata CBS 101060 is the source of this 86-nucleotide non-coding RNA. The record is from the annotation of a GenBank genome assembly. NCBI's taxonomy places the organism in Eukaryota, Fungi, Ascomycota, Dothideomycetes, Patellariales, Patellariaceae.